Long non-coding RNA from Saccostrea cuccullata (small rock oyster), 664 nucleotides. RefSeq lists it as uncharacterized. Lineage: Eukaryota; Metazoa; Mollusca; Bivalvia; Ostreida; Ostreidae. The transcript is spliced from 6 exons. The record is from RefSeq and is a predicted model, not a curated record.
AUUCCUUGUAUAUACCAACUGAGUAUAGGAUCUGCGUUUGUUUCGUUGGUUUAACGUUGGAUUCCACUUAUUGAUGAAGUAGUUUAGACCAGAUGACACACACUUAAUUUCGACAGUUGAAGCUAAACAAACAUUUGUGUACGUGAUAUCUGAAAAACAUGCUGAGUGCAAGUUUCCCAGUGCAACGUGUGGUCGACUGGAUGAGAUACAUGUACAACAGGAUGCACGCAAUGAGCAUCCUAGUACAAAACCAUUAUCACGGAUUCAAUCAAUCCCUGGGUCUGUGUCCUGUUUUUCCACGAAUUCAACUUAUUCCACCAAAUUCAAUUUUUCCACAAAGUUCAUUUAUUCCAUCGUAUCCAAUUAUUCCACAAAGUUCAUUCAUUCCACCAAAUCAAUUUAUUCCACAAAAUUCACUUAUUCCACAAAACCCACUUAUUCAACAAUAUCCACACAUUCAACACUAUCCACUUAUUCCGCAUUAUGCAAGGUUUACACAAAAUCAUUAUAUUCCGCAAAUUCCAUUUUUUCAACAAAAUCAAUGUAUUCCUCUUUAUCAACGGAAUCUACAAAAUCCAUUCAUCCUACUUUAUCCACAUUAUCAAUUCGGAGGGCUUCUACCAAUAGGAUCAAUUCUGCCAGAGGCGCCGCAUUUAGAAGAAAG